Molecule: ribosomal RNA, 253 nt
Filed under: uncultured bacterium
Lineage: Bacteria
Description: partial 16S ribosomal RNA
Rfam family: Bacterial small subunit ribosomal RNA
Source: RNAcentral
UACGGAGGGUGCAAGCGUUAUCCGGAAUCACUGGGUUUAAAGGGUGCGUAGGCGGUUUGUUAAGUCUGUAUUUAAAGCCGGUCGCUUAACGAUACGGAUGGUAUGGAUACUGACAGACUUGAAUCAGUUUGAGGUGGCUGGAAUGUUACAUGUAGCGGUGAAAUGCUUAGAUAUGUGAUAGAACACCAAUUGCGAAGGCAGGUCACUAAGACUCGAUUGACGCUGAGGCACGAAAGCGUGGGGAUCAAACAGG